This 468-nucleotide ribosomal RNA is filed under the name uncultured bacterium. Its description in RNAcentral is "partial 16S ribosomal RNA". It matches the Rfam family "Bacterial small subunit ribosomal RNA", at positions 28 to 507 of the family's 1533-position model. The record is from RNAcentral.
GACGAACGCUGACGGCGUGCUUAACACAUGCAAGUCGAACGGAAAGGCCCUGCUUUUGUGGGGUGCUCGAGUGGCGAACGGGUGAGUAACACGUGAGUAACCUGCCCUUGACUUUGGGAUAACUUCAGGAAACUGGGGCUAAUACCGGAUAGGAGCUCCUGCUGCAUGGUGGGGGUUGGAAAGUUUCGGCGGUUGGGGAUGGACUCGCGGCUUAUCAGCUUGUUGGUGGGGUAGUGGCUUACCAAGGCUUUGACGGGUAGCCGGCCUGAGAGGGUGACCGGCCACAUUGGGACUGAGAUAGGGCCCAGACUCCAACGGGAGGCAGCAGUGGGGAGUAUUGCACAAUGGGCGGAAGCCUGAUGCAGCAACGCCGCGUGCGGGAUGACGGCCUUCGGGUUGUGAACCGCUUUCGCCUGUGACGAAGCGUGAGUGACGGUAAUGGGUAAAGAAGCACCGGCUAACUACGUG